Molecule: small RNA, 307 nt
Filed under: Histoplasma capsulatum var. duboisii H88
Lineage: Eukaryota; Fungi; Ascomycota; Eurotiomycetes; Onygenales; Ajellomycetaceae
Description: Histoplasma capsulatum H88 hypothetical RNA
Source: RNAcentral
AUUACCGGACCCUCCUCCCCGUCUUCCAACGCCCGAAAUAAUUUUUUGCCUUUGCGUGCUUAGCCUUUCAAAUCCUGUCUCGGGCCGGUGGUCUAAGCUAGCAGAAAUCGGGCGCAAACAUGGGGUACGGGGGCUUUGACCGUAACCUGCCCACAUGCAGAUUAUGAAGUAGAAGUGCACUGCACCCCGUCCAACCGGGCUAUCAUGAUAGCCAAUGAGGCAAGAUGGGAAUUUCCAGCGAGCCUGCGCUGGAGUAAGGGGUUCAGUAAACCGAGAUGACGGUCUCAGAGAUAAAAUCGGAAAAAAA